CUAGAGAUAGAAAGGUUACUCGGUACAUCGGUGACAGGUGGUGCAUGGUUGUCGUCAGCUCGUGUCGUGAGAUGUUGGGUUAAGUCCCGCAACGAGCGCAACCCCUAUUGUUAGUUGCCAUCAUUCAGUUGGGCACUCUAGCGAGACUGCCGGUAAUAAACCGGAGGAAGUGGGGAUGACGUCAAAUCAUCAUGCCCCUUAUGACCUGGGCUACACACGUGCUACAAUGGUUGGUACAACGAGUUGCGAGUCGGUGACGGCGAGCUAAUCUCUUAAAGCCAAUCUCAGUUCGGAUUGUAGGCUGCAACUCGCCUACAUGAAGUCGGAAUCGCUAGUAAUCGCGGAUCAGCACGCCGCGGUGAAUACGUUCCCGGGCCUU
This 379-nucleotide ribosomal RNA is filed under the name uncultured Streptococcus sp. Its description in RNAcentral is "bacterial SSU rRNA". It matches the Rfam family "Bacterial small subunit ribosomal RNA", at positions 1000 to 1382 of the family's 1533-position model. Lineage: Bacteria; Bacillati; Bacillota; Bacilli; Lactobacillales; Streptococcaceae. The record is from RNAcentral.